AAAAAAUAAAGCAAAUGCGCUUAGAGACUCAACCCGCUAACACCUUCCGUUUCCUAUUCACACGUUCUGGUUCCUGUCAGGCACCGGAUCCAAUUCCGUUCCAAAUUGGUUUUCCCUUUCCUUUUUUUUCCCAGGACAUUUCCCGGAUAAAUAAAAACCCCCAACCCAUACCCCUUCUCCUCAAUCACCAAUUCUCAAAAAAUCUCAUUCUUAGCUAUUAUUUUUACUCCAAUCGAAAUCACAAUGGAUGUUUCUGUCAUUGCCGAUACUGUAACCCUGGCCACGCAGCAAGGAGUAGGGUUUACGAAUCCGCUACUCCACCGACAAAAUUGCAUCUCCAAUAGCAACCUUGCUCUCUCCGCUAGAUUCCUCCAAAUCUCCGUGGUUAUUUUGGAAGCACUAGCUCCUCCGCCGGUCAAAUCAAACCCGCAUAAAACCGCUCGCGGGACUCUUCUUCGCAAGAAACAACGGACGAGGCGGAAAUCGUGCAGCAGCGGAGGCUACGAGGAUGGCGGCGAGUAUGCUGGGUUUUGGGGUGGUGAUGGUGACGGUGACGGUCCGUUUGGUGGAGCUGGUGGAAGUUGGGGUGGUGGCAGAGGGUGGAAUUCUGACAGAUUUGGAGGGCAAAGUUGGGACGAGUCAUCGUGGUCGUCAUCAUCUGAGUUUGCUUAUGGGUUCGUUUAUGAGGUGAUUUAUUGGAUUGCCUUGUCGACUUGCAUGCAAUUUGCGUUCGAGAAGGUUGUGAGGAUCAUGACCGAUGGAAUCGGUGAUGCUGAGAGAGAGAAGGUUCCUAUGAGAUUGACUUCCGUUUGCUAAAUUGGUAAACGAUAUUGCAAAUUUAUGAAUGAAGGGGAAUGAAUUGGGAUAAUAGACUUAGUGUAUUUAAUUGGGAUAUCAUAUCAUAUGCUAUUUGCUCCGACUUUCCUUUCACAGAUAAUGCAAAUAUCGUAUAUAUGUUCAUCUACACUGUUUCUGUGACGGUUCCUCUUUUUAUUUUAUUUAUUUUUUUCUUUACAUUGUUUCUUUUCACAGAUAAUGUCCUUGGUUUCACAUUUUUUGCCUGUCACAGAUUGGCAACUUAAGAAUUCGAGUUCCUUAAAGUUAUAAUAAUGUGGAACAGUAAUUAUAUGAUACUAUAACUCUGUUGAGAUUCUAGAUCCUUAAUGACAUAGUAUGCUCAAGAGUUAUUGUCUUGGCAUGGUAUGAUGACGGAGAUACAUGUAGUUUUACAUUUUUUAUAAUCUAGGUAGAUGGCAAUGUUCUUGUUUAUCUGUUGUAUCAUCCUCG
This 1287-nucleotide unclassified non-coding RNA is filed under the name Hevea brasiliensis (rubber tree). The record is from RNAcentral. Lineage: Eukaryota; Viridiplantae; Streptophyta; Magnoliopsida; Malpighiales; Euphorbiaceae.